UUUCCGUAGGUGAACCUGCGGAAGGAUCAUUCAUAAUAAGUGUUUUAUGGCACUUUUUUAAAUCCAUAUCCACCUUGUGUGCAAUGUCAGGGUUGAUUUUUCUCUCGAGAGGAUCGGCCCCAAACAUCAACUAUAUCUCAACUCUUUGUCUGAAAAAUAUUAUGAAUAAAACAAUUCUAAAUACAACUUUCAACAACGGAUCUCUUGGCUCUC
Molecule: unclassified non-coding RNA, 213 nt
Filed under: plant metagenome
Description: partial contains small subunit ribosomal RNA, internal transcribed spacer 1, and 5.8S ribosomal RNA
Source: RNAcentral